AGGUUUGCCACAGCAGCGAGCAGACAAAGAGCAGAACAAGGAACCUGGCCCCUCUGCUUCAGUCUUGGCCAGCACCUCUUUACACAUGACAAGCACCAGCCCAGAAACAUGUAUCUAGGGAGAGCAGUAAUUAAGCCAGAAGGGAACAUGCACACUGGGGUCCACAGCCUGAAUGUCUAUGAGAAGCUGGCUGAAAGAGGAUGAGGUAGACAUGCUGAUUGGAAGUUCAGAAACCUCUGGCUUUGAUCAUGAGUCUUGGAUAUCUUGUGCUUUAAAGCAUGAUGCUUGAAGAGCAUCAAACAUGUCUACAGACACUGCAGAUCAGUUAGAGGUGUUUGUCUGUUGCAUUUGUGGAACCACAAUGGAUAUAUUUCCACCCUGGAGCACAUCACAAUUUUAAAAUGACUUGUAGCAGAGGUGCCACCAACAUACAACCAAAGGACAGUUACAUCUUCUGGCAUGUUAAUUGUGACUGUUGCCAAAGUCACUUUGGGUACGAAAGUGCUGAGGGCUGUCAGUUCCGCCUACAAGUAAUUGGAUCUGGAGCCCAGAUGAUAUACCUAGGGACUUCAGUGAUUUGAUUAAUACCAUUCAGCAGCUUUCCCACUAAUCCGCAUCAAAUCAGCAUCAAUAAACUGGGAAAUUUGAUGCAAGUGGCAUUUAAUGAAAGAUGCCUUUGGCCCUUUGGGAAUUGGAAUACUGCCCAAUUCUGGGCGCCACACUUCGGAGAAAAUGUGAAGGCUUUGGAGAGAGUACAGAAUGGCUGAGAUUGAGUGAUUCCACUCGUCAAGACAGACUGAUGAAGCUGGGGGUUGUUCUCCUUAAGAGCAGAGAAGUCAAAGAGGAGAUUUGACUGCAGUGUUUAAGAUCCUAAAGGGCUUAUGUAGAAUAAAUAAAGAUAAACUGUUUC
Rhincodon typus (whale shark) is the source of this 910-nucleotide long non-coding RNA. RefSeq lists it as uncharacterized. Lineage: Eukaryota; Metazoa; Chordata; Chondrichthyes; Orectolobiformes; Rhincodontidae. The transcript is spliced from 2 exons. The record is from RefSeq and is a predicted model, not a curated record.